This 1278-nucleotide ribosomal RNA is filed under the name Bacillus subtilis. Its description in RNAcentral is "bacterial SSU rRNA". It matches the Rfam family "Bacterial small subunit ribosomal RNA", at positions 106 to 1370 of the family's 1533-position model. The record is from RNAcentral. Lineage: Bacteria; Bacillati; Bacillota; Bacilli; Caryophanales; Bacillaceae.
AUGAGUAACACGUGGGUAACCUGCCUGUAAGACUGGGAUAACUCCGGGAAACCGGGGCUAAUACCGGAUGCUUGUUUGAACCGCAUGGUUCAAACAUAAAAGGUGGCUUCGGCUACCACUUACAGAUGGACCCGCGGCGCAUUAGCUAGUUGGUGAGGUAAUGGCUCACCAAGGCAACGAUGCGUAGCCGACCUGAGAGGGUGAUCGGCCACACUGGGACUGAGACACGGCCCAGACUCCUACGGGAGGCAGCAGUAGGGAAUCUUCCGCAAUGGACGAAAGUCUGACGGAGCAACGCCGCGUGAGUGAUGAAGGUUUUCGGAUCGUAAAGCUCUGUUGUUAGGGAAGAACAAGUACCGUUCGAAUAGGGCGGUACCUUGACGGUACCUAACCAGAAAGCCACGGCUAACUACGUGCCAGCAGCCGCGGUAAUACGUAGGUGGCAAGCGUUGUCCGGAAUUAUUGGGCGUAAAGGGCUCGCAGGCGGUUUCUUAAGUCUGAUGUGAAAGCCCCCGGCUCAACCGGGGAGGGUCAUUGGAAACUGGGGAACUUGAGUGCAGAAGAGGAGAGUGGAAUUCCACGUGUAGCGGUGAAAUGCGUAGAGAUGUGGAGGAACACCAGUGGCGAAGGCGACUCUCUGGUCUGUAACUGACGCUGAGGAGCGAAAGCGUGGGGAGCGAACAGGAUUAGAUACCCUGGUAGUCCACGCCGUAAACGAUGAGUGCUAAGUGUUAGGGGGUUUCCGCCCCUUAGUGCUGCAGCUAACGCAUUAAGCACUCCGCCUGGGGAGUACGGUCGCAAGACUGAAACUCAAAGGAAUUGACGGGGGCCCGCACAAGCGGUGGAGCAUGUGGUUUAAUUCGAAGCAACGCGAAGAACCUUACCAGGUCUUGACAUCCUCUGACAAUCCUAGAGAUAGGACGUCCCCUUCGGGGGCAGAGUGACAGGUGGUGCAUGGUUGUCGUCAGCUCGUGUCGUGAGAUGUUGGGUUAAGUCCCGCAACGAGCGCAACCCUUGAUCUUAGUUGCCAGCAUUCAGUUGGGCACUCUAAGGUGACUGCCGGUGACAAACCGGAGGAAGGUGGGGAUGACGUCAAAUCAUCAUGCCCCUUAUGACCUGGGCUACACACGUGCUACAAUGGACAGAACAAAGGGCAGCGAAACCGCGAGGUUAAGCCAAUCCCACAAAUCUGUUCUCAGUUCGGAUCGCAGUCUGCAACUCGACUGCGUGAAGCUGGAAUCGCUAGUAAUCGCGGAUCAGCAUGCCGCGGUGAAUACG